UGGGGAAUAUUGGACAAUGGGCGAAAGCCUGAUCCAGCCAUGCCGCGUGUGUGAAGAAGGUCUUCGGAUUGUAAAGCACUUUAAGUUGGGAGGAAGGGUAGUAACCUAAUACGUUGCUACUUUGACGUUACCGACAGAAUAAGCACCGGCUAACUUCGUGCCAGCAGCCGCGGUAAUACGAAGGGUGCAAGCGUUAAUCGGAAUUACUGGGCGUAAAGCGCGCGUAGGUGGUUUUGUAAGUUGGAGGUGAAAUCCCCGGGCUCAACCUGGGAACUGCCUCCAAAACUGCAUGACUAGAGUACGGUAGAGGGUAGUGGAAUUUCCUGUGUAGCGGUGAAAUGCGUAGAUAUAGGAAGGAACACCAGUGGCGAAGGCGACUACCUGGACUGAUACUGACACUGAGGUGCGAAAGCGUGGGGAGCAAACA
Molecule: ribosomal RNA, 427 nt
Filed under: uncultured bacterium
Lineage: Bacteria
Description: bacterial SSU rRNA
Rfam family: Bacterial small subunit ribosomal RNA
Source: RNAcentral